This 403-nucleotide ribosomal RNA is filed under the name uncultured bacterium. RNAcentral describes it as "bacterial SSU rRNA". It matches the Rfam family "Bacterial small subunit ribosomal RNA", at positions 356 to 773 of the family's 1533-position model. The record is from RNAcentral.
GGGGAAUAUUGCACAAUGGGGGAAACCCUGAUGCAGCGACGCCGCGUGAAGGAAGAAGGUUUUCGGAUCGUAAACUUCUAUCAGCAGGGAAGAAGAAAGUGACAGUACCUGACUAAGAAGCCCCGGCUAACUACGUGCCAGCAGCCGCGGUAAUACGUAGGGGGCAAGCGUUAUCCGGAAUCACUGGGUGUAAAGGGUGCGUAGGCGGUAGGGCAAGUCAGAUGUGAAAGCCCGGGGCUCAACUCCGGGACUGCAUUUGAAACUGUCUUACUAGAGUGCAGGAGAGGAAAGCGGAAUUCCUAGUGUAGCGGUGAAAUGCGUAGAUAUUAGGAAGAACACCAGUGGCGAAGGCGGCUUUCUGGACUGUAACUGACGCUGAGGCACGAAAGCGUGGGGAGCGAAC